GACGAACGCUGGCGGCGUGCCUAAUACAUGCAAGUCGAACGCAGUGGGGACGGGUGAGUAACACGUGGGUAACCUCCCAUCAGAGGGGAUAACACUUGGAAACAGGUACUAAACCGAUACUGAUGGAUGGACCCGCGGUGCAUUAGCUAGUUGGUGAGGUAACGGCUAACAAAGGCACCGAUGCAUAGCCGACCAGAUAGGGUGGUCGGACGACCUGGGACGGCGAAACGGCCCAGACUCCUACGGGAGGCAUCAGUAGGGAAUCUUCGGCAAUGGACGAAAGUCUGACCGAGCAACGCCGCGUGAGUGAAGAAGGUUGUCGGAUCGUAAAACUCUGUUGUUAGAGAAGCGGUAUCUAACCAGAAAGCCACGGCUAACUACGUGCCAGCAGCCGGGGUAAUUC
RNAcentral lists this ribosomal RNA (403 nucleotides) under uncultured bacterium. RNAcentral's name for it is "partial 16S ribosomal RNA". It matches the Rfam family "Bacterial small subunit ribosomal RNA", at positions 28 to 526 of the family's 1533-position model. The record is from RNAcentral.